GGAUCCGCGAGGCCGUCAAGACCCACAAGCUGGUGGAGCAGGAGCUGGCACACGCCAUCAACGCCAGCGCCACGGUGCUGACCGAGGCCAAGCCGUCCAGCCCUGAGUUUUGGAGUUGCAGCACAGCUGUGGAAAUUGUCAACAGCAGCAAAGUUCUCCAGGCUGACACAACCAUGCUUCUGGAUGGAAAACAUCUGGUAACCUCUCUCGCCACUAGCUGCUGCAACUUUUUGGCCAUCUGAUCCUCCUCAGUCCGAGUUCCCUGAGGAAGAGGGGCUCCGCUUAACCCUGAACAGCCUGAGUGCUGACCUCCACAAACUGGAUGACAUCCACUGGAUCUGUCCACUAAUGCACUGUGCUGAGGAGUGUCUACACGUUGCUUGCAUGCAGCAGAGUACAGAACAUCUUUUAGAAACGACACGAUGGAAACCGCCUUCAGACUGAAAUGAGACUUUUCGGGGACACCUUGUUUCUACAUCACGCAACCUUCAAUGGCACCAGAAGCCGAUGUGCAGAAAUCUUGGAUGUUGAACAGAAAAGAAAAACAUUGACUGUAUUUGUGUGUUGAGCUGUUAAUAAUACAACUGAUAAUAAUACUGAUAAUGAUGUGCACAUGCAAGGUGCUCAAGUGGUUUUGACUUUGUUUGGCUUGUCGUGACCUCAACUAAAGAGGUCAUGGGGGUGGUUCAUGAUCAGCUGAAUCGAGAUGUAAUGCACCAAUGUGAAUGUUUGCUUUGCCAGUAGUUCCCAAUUGUUCUUAUCGUCUUGCUCUCGUGGGAUUGCUGUCCAAUCCCCCACCACUCCCAGGUCCCCCCAACCAUCCCCCAGUGCGUUCAUAAACACGAUAGGAUCAAUGAAGAAAUCAAGUUGGCCAAAUGGGGAAAUUUGUCGUUUGCAUAAGCAUGUUUAGUCUAAGCUGAUGCUUGCUGUGAGGGGCAUACUAAAUGAUAGCGCGUGCAGGAACAUGCUUGUUUCCGCUCACGGUCGAGCAUUGCCAAGCUCCACUGUAGUCGGGUGCUGUUUCUGCAUCCAGUGUGCGCUGCUGCCUGUUUGCCUUCAUGGCUUUUGUGGUGUGCCAAGUAAAGCGACACACUCCAGUUGUCACGUACGUGGUUAGGGCGAAGGCGAGGAACGCAAGGCAAGAACAUGGUGGACCCAAUUGCAGGGAAGCAGGGAGGCAAGGCAGGAGUGCGGGAAUCUCAAAAAAUUUGCUUUAAUUCCAAAAACAAAGGAAAACAAAGAUAAUGAAAAAGUCUAAAUGCUAAAUUAACAAAGUCCAAAAUAUAAACACAAAGUAACAAAGAAACACUUGAGUGAACCCAAAACAAGAAACAAGACAUGACUGGUGAAAUACCUGAGCGACAAUGACAUGGCAAGACAUAUGACAACUGGCAACUAUGACAUGGCAAAGACGUGACAACGACAAUGAACCGACGAGAACUGAAAGAAACCAGGGAACUAAAUACAAACAAAUUGACGAGACAACGAGGAACACCUGGACAAGACACGAGUGGCUGGAGAGAGCUGAUUGGUCGACACAAAGUAGACGAGAACAGGUGGACACAACAACCUAAUGAGCACACGACAAACAUGGAACACAGGAAAACACAACCCAAACCAAAACACAGACCAUGACACCAGUGGUGUGUGCAAUGUGGCGUUCAUUUCAAGUUUACUGUGUCUGGGCUCGCACUUUACAGACUCCUUGAUGGGGGAAAUGUGCGUGUACAUGCGUUUAUGUCAAAUUAGGUGAAGAAUAUGAAUUUGUAUUUGUGAUGAACUAUUAAAUAUGUAAUGUAAAAAUGCACGCCCAUCGAUGUGAUCCAUGGCUGUGGCGUUCCUGCUCCCGCGUCCACUGAUGGGCUGGGCCAAUGUGUUACCAUGGUAACCACGUUAUCCAUUUGAAGCUUAAAGCCAAAGCUUAAGUCGACUCAUGAAUCACUUAUUGAUGAAGAUAAAAUGUUUGUGCACAAUGUGUAACUUUUUGAAAUUGUAUCAUCAACUUGUUCUGAAUAUAUGAUUGCAACGUGUAUAUGGGUUUUAAAAAGAAAGCUCAUGUAUAUUUAAUUUGAUCAAUGAAUGUUUGAACGUAAUUUAAUGGGGUUAACAAGGAUUCCGCAAUGCCGGGUGUUUGCACGAGUGUGUGCUUGUUGCCAGUUUUUCCGUCAUGUAACAAAGAUAAGCUUUGGAAAUUAAAAUGACUUGAUGGUGUGAUAAAUGUGCGUCUGCUGCUGCUUCCAACGUGUCUCUCUUAAAAGUAAGUUUUAUUAAUACCUGCAUGUAAGUUUGUACGGUUUGUAUGAAAAUGCUUGCCGCCGCUUCUCCUUACAUACAUUGUGACCAACAAAGCUGACACAAUAUGAAGUUGUCAUUUCUCUUAAUUGUUGAUUAUUGAAAUGUUUAGAGUGAGGAGCUAUAAAGGUGCUCUGUAAUAAACAGAAUCUGCCUCUUUUCCCAACACAACUCUGCUUCCAGCUGGACUAUUGCAUGA
Phyllopteryx taeniolatus (common seadragon) is the source of this 2491-nucleotide long non-coding RNA. RefSeq lists it as uncharacterized. NCBI's taxonomy places the organism in Eukaryota, Metazoa, Chordata, Actinopteri, Syngnathiformes, Syngnathidae. The record is from RefSeq and is a predicted model, not a curated record. The transcript has 3 exons.